This 1572-nucleotide long non-coding RNA is filed under the name Anser brachyrhynchus (Pink-footed goose). RNAcentral's name for it is "lncRNA (ENSABRG00000003898.1)". The record is from RNAcentral. Lineage: Eukaryota; Metazoa; Chordata; Aves; Anseriformes; Anatidae.
CCUCAGGUGACUCCUAUCUCAUUUUUGGCUUCUCAGGUCGACUUGAUCUCUGGGAUGAAACAAAGCUUGACUCCCAGAAAGCUGAAGAAAGAAGUCUAAAGUUUGUUUGAAGCUCUGGUGAAGACUUCCACAGACAGCUUCUACCUUCUUUCCAGUCCAUGGAAUCUAAGACUUCUAUGAGGAUCAGGCUAUACAAAUAGAAUCUUUACACUGGCAAAUUGCACCUAUUGUUGUUGGGGUGCAUCUGAAGACUGACGCAGAAACAGGCAAGAACACUGAGUGAAAAUAGGCACCCCAGAAAAGAUAAUGGGAACUUGAUCCGUAUUUUGAGAGCUGUUCACAGUGCAAAAUCAGAAAUAAGAACGUUAUUUCUUUUUGCCUUUCAAGAUCCUGGAUCUGGAGGUGGGGCGAUGAAAUGUGAUAAAACUAGGAAACAUGAAGGAAGACACCGUAUUGGGUUUUAUUAUUACUUGGCUCCCAGUGAAGAAGCUUUAAUCAUGAAUGUUAACAUACAACGUUCAGUGAAGUUGCAAGAUGUGGCAGUCAUGGUAGUGAAGAAGUGGAAAGACUGAUUCCAGUUGUUCCUCCGUGAACUGUGCCGAAUUCCUGCCCGAAUUGUGGUCACUGAAGGUACAUAAGGCAAAAUUCUGUAAGGAUAAAAUGAAAGAAAAUGCCAGUAGAAUGAUUCCUGGAAUGGUCUUCACCCCCUGAACUCUCUUUUGAUAGUCAGGGCCACUGAAAGUUCCCCACACAAUCUGGAGGCUUUGAGAGGAGAGGAAAAAGAAGCUGAGAAGAGUUAACAUUGGUUGUAUGCUGUGGUUUAGUGGUGGCUGAAGAGGCGGUGAGAUGUGACUGUGGAGAUACAUACUGCUAAACUGCCUUGUGCUGGGAAGCCCUGUUGGGCCACAGGAGGACUUGUGGCUCUUGCCGGUAAUGCCUCCAAGGAGAAUUAAGGAGAUGUCUAGAAAAUAGGUUACUACAGAGGUAGGUUGCAGACUUGUAUACCUUGGUAGCUAAGACUAAGGAGCACAAAGGGUCUGAAGCCUUACUGAACUCAUGUUCUCUAUGAAAGAUAGAUUUCUUGAUGACAGGAGCACUGGACUGUGUAUUUGUCACUUAUUUGUUAGGUAGUUUCGGACAAGAGAAAAACAAUUUGACAUGUCCACAUUCUCAUCUGUAGAAUGAACAUCUUAUGUGAUUUCUUUAUGGCACGUGUGAUCUGAUCACCAUUAGUGAGAGACGAGUGUCUUCACUGAGAUGCAUGUCUACUGCUUACUGAUGUAUAGAAGCUUUCAGAUGGUUUGUACUCCUGCACCACAUAACCACUUGGGUACAUAUUUUCUUGCUGUUGCAGAAUUCCUUUAACUUUGGAUAAAAUUGCAGUCUGCCUUCCUGAAUAACAAUGCGGAGUUAGAGACAUAUUCUGUCUGUAAUACCUUGGAUUUGAGGAAAAUGCAUUUAAAAACAAACCCAAAUUCACAUAAAUGUUUUAAAAGUCAGGUCUGAAAUUGGAUCUUAUUCAGUUUAGGUCAAUAGUCUAGAAAGAAAAAUUCAGAAUAGGAGAUGAAUUGU